This 73-nucleotide transfer RNA is filed under the name Planctomycetales bacterium ZRK34. It matches the Rfam family "tRNA". Rfam says of the family: Transfer RNA (tRNA) molecules are approximately 80 nucleotides in length. Their secondary structure includes four short double-helical elements and three loops (D, anti-codon, and T loops). Further hydrogen bonds mediate the characteristic L-shaped molecular structure. tRNAs have two regions of fundamental functional importance: the anti-codon, which is responsible for specific mRNA codon recognition, and the 3' end, to which the tRNAs corresponding amino acid is attached (by aminoacyl-tRNA synthetases). tRNAs cope with the degeneracy of the genetic code in two manners: having more than one tRNA (with a specific anti-codon) for a particular amino acid; and 'wobble' base-pairing, i.e. permitting non-standard base-pairing at the 3rd anti-codon position. The record is from Rfam by way of RNAcentral. Lineage: Bacteria; Pseudomonadati; Planctomycetota; Planctomycetia; Planctomycetales.
GGCCGGGUAGCUCAGUCGGUAGAGCAGCGGCCUUUUAAGCCGUUGGUCCUGGGUUCGAGUCCCAGCCCGGCCA